Molecule: long non-coding RNA, 728 nt
Organism: Drosophila mojavensis
Lineage: Eukaryota; Metazoa; Arthropoda; Insecta; Diptera; Drosophilidae
Exons: 2
Source: RefSeq, a predicted model, not a curated record
ACAGCCAUAUAAAAACAAAAGUAAAUAAAAUAAAAUAAAUUAAUUGAAUAUAUGUAUGUACUUAUCAAGCUUAACAUGAAAUAUCGUAACAUCGUUUAAAAUCCCGUGCAAAUUGUGUCACGCCUGCACAUUUAAAAACUAGCCAACACUACACAACAAAAGUUCAGUCAUCUAAGUAGACCGGAGCUAGUUUUGUUCCAACAGUUGAGUUGAUCUGGUUCUGGACGACACGACAAAAACUUCAAUCGCAGCUGUCAAUGCAAUUGGAAAAGGUCUACGAAUUGGUGAAUUCAAAUUUAAUUUGCCUCAAAAUGGUGCAGCCUGAAAAUGAAAAUCCUUUCGGAAUACCGCCAAACCUACUUAUAAAGGAAGUGGUGGGCAUUAAGUUUAUAUUGAACAAAUUUUAUUAUCUCGUGCUAUUGGAGGAUGCGCCACCCGUAUUCAUCCCAUCCGAUAUGGCCAAACAGAUGUGCCCCCAGCAAAUCAUAGAUUUCUUUACGAAUGAAUGUGAAAUGGUGGAUGGUAAAAUCAUUAUACCAGAGGAGUUCAAUAUAUAGGUUGAAGAUCCAGAAGAAAAAGAAAUACCUAUACAAAAUUGGAUUAACAAUAAUUACACUGUGGAACAAGAAACAUAUUGCAUGAACAAAACCUGAUGCUGAACAAUGUUUAAAUAAAAUCUAUUUCACAACCGUAUGCACUUGUAUGCAAUAAACAUCCACAGACCAAAA